UUCCAAGGUGAUCCCCUCUCCAAUGGGCCAGCUAGUGCUCCCCAAGCUCCCAGAAACAUAGCAACUCAGGAUAAUAUCUGGUAUGCCCAAGGUCUGUGAGGGUAAAGUGAUUUUUUUUUUGACUUAUGACUGCCUACAUAU
Small nucleolar RNA from Mesoplodon densirostris (Blainville's beaked whale), 141 nucleotides. RefSeq annotates it as small nucleolar RNA SNORA67. NCBI's taxonomy places the organism in Eukaryota, Metazoa, Chordata, Mammalia, Artiodactyla, Ziphiidae. The transcript has a single exon. The record is from RefSeq and is a predicted model, not a curated record.